This 406-nucleotide ribosomal RNA is filed under the name uncultured bacterium. RNAcentral describes it as "partial 16S ribosomal RNA". It matches the Rfam family "Bacterial small subunit ribosomal RNA", at positions 30 to 526 of the family's 1533-position model. The record is from RNAcentral.
AUUGAACGCUGGCGGCAGGCCUAACACAUGCAAGUCGAACGAGUGGCGGACGGGUGAGUAAUGUCUGGGAACCUGCCCGAUGGAGGGGGAUAACUACUGGAAACGGUAGCUAAUACCGCAUACCAUCGGAUGUGCCCAGAUGGGAUUAGCUAGUAGGUUGGGUAACGGCUCACCUAGGCGACGACCCCUAGCUGGUCUGAGAGGAUGACCAGCCACACUGGAACUGAGACACGGUCCAGACUCCUACGGGAGGCAGCAUGGGGGAAUAUUGCACAAUGGGCGCAAGCCUGAUGCAGCCAUGCCGCGUGUAUGAAGAAGGCCUUCGGGUUGUAAAGUACUUUCAGCGAGGAGGCGUUACUCGCAGAAGAAUCACCGGCUAACGCCGUGCCAGCAGCCGCGGUAAUUC